RNAcentral lists this transfer RNA (65 nucleotides) under Malcus setosus. RNAcentral's name for it is "tRNA-Glu". It matches the Rfam family "tRNA". From Rfam's summary of the family: Transfer RNA (tRNA) molecules are approximately 80 nucleotides in length. Lineage: Eukaryota; Metazoa; Arthropoda; Insecta; Hemiptera; Malcidae. The record is from RNAcentral.
ACUUAUAUAGUUUAAAUAAUAAAACAUUCCAUUUUCAAUGAAAAAAUAGGUUACCCUUAUAAGUU